CUGCUCAUGGAAUAUUAAAUAGCCGCAGAUUUUUCUGUGUUAAGGUAGCAUAAUCACUUACCUUCUAAUUAAAGGUCUGUAUGAAAGAUUAAACAAUUAAAUUUCUUUUUUAUUAAUUUUUAUUAAAGCUAAAUCAAAAAUAAAAAUGUUUUUAUUUAAAAAAUAGACGAUAAGACCCUAUUGAACUUUACUUUAGUUUAGCUGGGGAAGCUCGUUAAAUAUAAUUUUAAUCAAUUACAUAAAAUAAAUUUCUAACAUAAUUAAUUUAAAUAAGUUACCAUAGGGAUAACAGCAUAAUAUAAUUUUAAAGCUCAUAUUAAAAAUUAUGUUUAUGACCUCGAUGUUGAAUUAGAAUAUCUUCAAGAUGCAAUAAUCUUAAAAGUAGGUCUGUUCGACCUAUAAAAUUCUACAUGAUCUGAGUUCAAACCGGA
RNAcentral lists this ribosomal RNA (431 nucleotides) under Hylyphantes graminicola. Its description in RNAcentral is "partial 16S ribosomal RNA". It matches the Rfam family "Bacterial large subunit ribosomal RNA", at positions 1905 to 2620 of the family's 2925-position model. The record is from RNAcentral. Lineage: Eukaryota; Metazoa; Arthropoda; Arachnida; Araneae; Linyphiidae.